AACUCCGAAUGCCAUGUACUUAUACUCGGGAGUCAGACUGCGAGUGAUAAGAUCCGUAGUCGAAAGGGAAACAGCCCAGACCACCAGUUAAGGUCCCCAAAUAUAUGUUAAGUGGAAAAGGAUGUGGGGUUGCUUAGACAACCAGGAUGUUGGCUUAGAAGCAGCCACCAUUGAAAGAGUGCGUAAUAGCUCACUGGUCGAGUGACCCCGCGCCGAAAAUGUACCGGGGCUAAACAUAUUACCGAAACUGUGGAUGAACCUCUUUAGAGGUUCGUGGUAGGAGAGCGUUCUAAGGGCGGUGAAGUCAGACCGGAAGGACUGGUGGAGCGCUUAGAAGUGAGAAUGCCGGUAUGAGUAGCGAAAGAAGGGUGAGAAUCCCUUCCACCGAAUAUCUAAGGUUUCCUGAGGAAGGCUCGUCCGCUCAGGGUUAGUCGGGACCUAAGCCGAGGCCGAUAGGCGUAGGCGAUGGACAACAGGUAGAGAUUCCUGUACCAGUGCUAAUUGUUUAACCGAUGGGGUGACACAGAAGGAUAGGGAAUCGCACGAAUGGAAAUGUGCGUCCAAGCAGUGAGUGUGAGAAGUAGGCAAAUCCGCUUCUCGCGAAGCAUGAGCUGUGAUGGGGAAGGAAAUUAAGUACGGAAGUUCCUGAUUUCACGCUGUCAAGAAAAGCCUCUAGGAAGAGUAGUACUGCCCGUACCGCAAACCGACACAGGUAGAUGAGGAGAGAAUCCUAAGGUGAGCGAGAGAACUCUCGUUAAGGAACUCGGCAAAAUGACCCCGUAACUUCGGGAGAAGGGGUGCUCUAUUAGGGUGCAAGCCCGAGAGAGCCGCAGUGAAUAGGCCCAGGCGACUGUUUAGCAAAAACACAGGUCUCUGCAAAACCGUAAGGUGACGUAUAGGGGCUGACGCCUGCCCGGUGCUGGAAGGUUAAGAGGAGUGCUUAGCUUCGGCGAAGGUACGAAUUGAAGCCCCAGUAAACGGCGGCCGUAACUAUAACGGUCCUAAGGUAGCGAAAUUCCUUGUCGGGUAAGUUCCGACCCGCACGAAAGGCGCAACGAUCUGGGCACUGUCUCAACGAGAGACUCGGUGAAAUUAUAGUACCUGUGAAGAUGCAGGUUACCCGCGACAGGACGGAAAGACCCCGUGGAGCUUUACUGCAACCUGAUAUGGAAUGUUUGUACCGCUUGUACAGGAUAGGUAGGAGCCGAAGAGACGUGUGCGCUAGCAUACGAGGAGGCAAUGGUGGGAUACUACCCUGGCUGUAUGACCAUUCUAACCCGCCACGCUUAGCGCGUGGGGAGACAGUGUCAGGUGGGCAGUUUGACUGGGGCGGUCGCCUCCUAAAGAGUAACGGAGGCGCCCAAAGGUUCCCUCAGAAUGGAUGGAAAUCAUUCGCAGAGUGUAAAGGCACAAGGGAGCUUGACUGCGAGACUGACAAGUCGAGCAGGGACGAAAGUCGGGCUUAGUGAUCCGGUGGUUCCGCAUGGAAGGGCCAUCGCUCAACGGAUAAAAGCUACCCCGGGGAUAACAGGCUUAUCUCCCCCAAGAGUCCACAUCGACGGGGAGGUUUGGCACCUCGAUGUCGGCUCGUCGCAUCCUGGGGCUGUAGUCGGUCCCAAGGGUUGGGCUGUUCGCCCAUUAAAGCGGCACGCGAGCUGGGUUCAGAACGUCGUGAGACAGUUCGGUCCCUAUCCGUCGCGGGCGCAGGAAAUUUGAGAGGAGCUGUCCUUAGUACGAGAGGACCGGGAUGGACACACCGCUGGUGUACCAGUUGUUCCGCCAGGAGCAUCGCUGGGUAGCUAUGUGUGGCAGGGAUAAACGCUGAAAGCAUCUAAGCGUGAAGCCCCCCUCAAGAUGAGAUUUCCCAUUUCUUCGGAAAGUAAGAUCCCUGAAAGAUGAUCAGGUAGAUAGGU
Molecule: ribosomal RNA, 1913 nt
Filed under: Listeria monocytogenes
Lineage: Bacteria; Bacillati; Bacillota; Bacilli; Caryophanales; Listeriaceae
Description: partial 23S ribosomal RNA
Rfam family: Bacterial large subunit ribosomal RNA
Source: RNAcentral